GUAGUCAUAUGCUUGUCUCAAAGAUUAAGCCAUGCAUGUCUAAGUACAUGCCGUAUUAAGGCGAAACCGCGAAUGGCUCAUUAAAUCAGUUAUGGUUCCUUGGAUCGUACCUUACUACUUGGAUAACUGUGGCAAUUCUAGAGCUAAUACAUGCAGCAGAGCUCCGACCUUCGGGAACGAGCGCUUUUAUUAGACCAAAACCAAUCGGGCCUCGUGUCCGUUUCUUGUGGUGACUCUGUAUAACUUUGGGCUGAUCGCACGGGCUCGUCCCGGCGACGUAUCUUUCAAGUGUCUGCCUUAUCAACUGUCGAUGGUAGGUUACGCGCCUACCAUGGUCGUAACGGGUGACGGGGAAUCAGGGUUCGAUUCCGGAGAGGGAGCCUGAGAAACGGCUACCACAUCCAAGGAAGGCAGCAGGCGCGCAAAUUACCCACUCCCAGAACGGGGAGGUAGUGACGAAAAAUAACAAUACGGGACUCUUUUGAGACCCCGUAAUUGGAAUGAGUACACUCUAAAUCCUUUAACGAGGAUCCAUUGGAGAGCAAGUCUAGUGCCAGCAGUCGCGGUAAUUCUAGCUCCAAUAGCGUAUAUUAAAGUUGUUGCGGUUAAAAAGCUCGUAGUUGGAUCUCAGCUCCGGCCGGACGGUCCGCCUAACGGUGGUUACUGUUCGUUGCCGAGCGUUACGAAGACGUCGUCCGAUGAUCUUUACCCGUUGCCGUGCGGUGUCUUCAAGUUUACUUUGAAAAAAUUAGAGUGCNCAACGCCCGCGUGACGCCCGAAUAAUUGUGCAUGGAAUAAUGGAAUCGGACCUCGGGUGUAUUGGGUUGGUUAAUAGGAAUUGACGGAAAGGGCACCACCAGGAAUGGAGCCUGCGGCUUAAUUUGACUCUAUCACGGGAAAACUUACCAGGCCCGGACACAGGAAGGAUUGACAGAUUAAGAGCUCUUUCUUGAUUCUUUUGGUGGUGGUGCAUGGCCGUUCUUAGUUGGUGGGGUGACUUGUCUGGUUUAUUCCGUUAACGAANGAGACUCUAGCCUACUAAAUAGACGUUCCGAUCCUCUUUCGUCGGACGUUCUUCUUAGAGGGACAAGCGGCGUUUAGCCGCACGAGACAGAGCAAUAACAGGUCUGGGAUGCCCUUAGAUGUCCGGGGCCGCACGCGCGCUACAUUGAAGGAAUCAGCGUGUGCUUUCCCUGUCCGAAAGGACUGGGUAACCCGUUGAACCUCCUUCGUGCUGGGGAUUGGCGAAUGUAAUUCACGCCAUGAACGAGGAAUUCCCAGUAAGCACGAGUCAUCAGCUCGUGUUGAUUACGUCCCUGCCCUUUGUCCACACCGCCCGUCGCUACUAUCGAUUGAAUGAUUUAGUGAGGUCUUCGGACUGGCGCUCGGAUUGGCCUUCGCGGUCGAGCCGGUGUGCCGGAAAGAUGACCGAACUUGAUCAUUUAGAGAAAGNNAAAGUCGUAACAAGGUUUUCGUAGGU
Molecule: ribosomal RNA, 1480 nt
Filed under: Nemoscolus sandersi
Lineage: Eukaryota; Metazoa; Arthropoda; Arachnida; Araneae; Araneidae
Description: SSU rRNA
Rfam family: Eukaryotic small subunit ribosomal RNA
Source: RNAcentral